This 106-nucleotide small nucleolar RNA is filed under the name Caenorhabditis brenneri. Its description in RNAcentral is "sRNA CBN33937". It matches the Rfam family "Small nucleolar RNA sn2524". Lineage: Eukaryota; Metazoa; Nematoda; Chromadorea; Rhabditida; Rhabditidae. The record is from Rfam by way of RNAcentral.
UCCAAGAUCAUACGUAAAUGUGGAAUCCACGACUCCGUCCUUCUUGUCUUUCUCCAUUUUCACCAAAAAUGCGUCCACAAAAUCGUCACCGUCCUCGCUCAUCACA